RNAcentral lists this ribosomal RNA (774 nucleotides) under Triticum aestivum (bread wheat). Its description in RNAcentral is "partial small subunit ribosomal RNA". Lineage: Eukaryota; Viridiplantae; Streptophyta; Magnoliopsida; Poales; Poaceae. The record is from RNAcentral.
AUGGAGGAGAAUAGUUCUAUCAGUGAACACAUACUCAGAAUGUCUGGGUACCACAACCACUUGACUCAACUGGGAGUUAAUCUUCCUGAUGAUAGUGUCAUUGACAGAGUUCUUCAAUCACUGACACCAAGCUACAAAAGCUUCGUGAUGAACUAUAAUAUGCAAGGGAUGAACAAGACUAUUCUCGAGCUCUUCGCAAUGCUAAAGGCUAUGGAGGUAGAAAUCAAAAAGGAGCAUCAAGUGUUGAUGGUCAACAAGACCACUAGUUUCAAGAAAAAAGGCAAAGGGAAGAAGGGGGACUUCAAGAAGAACGGAAAAAAGGUUACUGCUCAAGAGAAGAAACCCAAGUGUGCACCUAAGCAUGAACCUGGGUGCUUCUACUACAAAGGGACUGGUCACUGGAAGUGGAACUGCCCCAAGUAUUUGGCGGAUAAGAAGGAUGGCAAAGUGAAAGGUAUAUUUGAUAUACAUGUUAUUGAUGUGUACUUAACUAAUGCUCGCAGUAGCGUCUGGGUAUUUGAUACUGGUUAUGUUCCUCAUGUUUGCAACUCGAAACAGGGGCUACGGAUUAAGCAAAGAUUGGCUAAGGACGAGGUGAUGAUGCGCGUGGGAAAUGGUUCCAAGGUCGAUGUGAUCGCCGUCGGCAUGCUACCUCUACAUCUACCAUCGGGAUUAGUUUUAGACCUGAAUAAUUGGUAUUUGGUGCCCGCGUUGAACAUGAACAUUAUAUCUGGAUCUUGUUUGAUGCGAGACGGUUAUUCAUUUAAAUCAGAG